RNAcentral lists this ribosomal RNA (497 nucleotides) under uncultured bacterium. Its description in RNAcentral is "partial 16S ribosomal RNA". It matches the Rfam family "Bacterial small subunit ribosomal RNA", at positions 28 to 507 of the family's 1533-position model. The record is from RNAcentral.
GAUGAACGCUGGCGGCGUGCCUAAUACAUGCAAGUCGAGCGAACGGACGAGAAGCUUGCUUCUCUGAUGUUAGCGGCGGACGGGUGAGUAACACGUGGAUAACCUACCUAUAAGACUGGGAUAACUUCGGGAAACCGUAGCUAAUACCGGAUAAUAUUUUGAACCGCAUGGUUCAAAAGUGAAAGACGGUCUUGCUGUCACUUAUAGAUGGAUCCGCGCUGCAUUAGCUAGUUGGUAAGGUAACGGCUUACCAAGGCAACGAUGCAUAGCCGACCUGAGAGGGUGAUCGGCCACACUUGAACUGAGACACGGUCCAGACUCCUACGGGAAGCAGCAGUAGGGAAUCUUCCGCAAUGGGCGAAAGCCUGACGGAGCAACGCCGCGUGAGUGGUGAAGGUCUUCGGAUCGUAAAACUCUGUUAUUAGGGAAGAACAUAUGUGUAAGUAACUGUGCACAUCUUGACGGUACCUAAUCAGAAAGCCACGGCUAACUACGUG